GACGAACGCUGGCGGCGUGCUUAACACAUGCAAGUCGAACGGAAAGGCCCUGCUUUUGUGGGGUGCUCGAGUGGGGAACGGGUGAGUAACACGUGAGUAACCUGCCCUUGACUUUGGGAUAACUUCAGGAAACUGGGGCUAAUACCGGAUAGGAGCUCCUGCUGCAUGGUGGGGGUUGGAAAGUUUCGGCGGUUGGGGAUGGACUCGCGGCUUAUCAGCUUGUUGGUGGGGUAGUGGCUUACCAAGGCUUUGACGGGUAGCCGGCCUGAGAGGGUGACCGGCCACAUGGGGACUGAGAUACGGCCCAGACUCCUACGGGAGGCAGCAGUGGGGAAUAUUGCACAAUGGGCGGAAGCCUGAUGCAGCAACGCCGCGUGCGGGAUGACGGCCUUCGGGUUGUAAACCGCUUCCGCCUGUGACGAAGCGUGAGUGACGGUAAUGGGUAAAGAAGCACCGGCUAACUACGUG
This 468-nucleotide ribosomal RNA is filed under the name uncultured bacterium. RNAcentral describes it as "partial 16S ribosomal RNA". It matches the Rfam family "Bacterial small subunit ribosomal RNA", at positions 28 to 507 of the family's 1533-position model. The record is from RNAcentral.